This 647-nucleotide long non-coding RNA is filed under the name Medicago truncatula (barrel medic). RNAcentral's name for it is "lncRNA gene36311". Lineage: Eukaryota; Viridiplantae; Streptophyta; Magnoliopsida; Fabales; Fabaceae. The record is from RNAcentral.
CUGAAACUUGUUCAGGAACAGAGAUAUUGGAGUUUGGUGCUUGUUGUUGAGGGGGAGUUUGGUGCUUGUUGUUGAGGGCUUUCUAAAGUAAUUUCAUCAGAAAUAACUCUAGAGGCUUUUUUUAGGUAGGGCUCAACACUUGGUAGUUCACCUGAGUAGUGACUAGCCAGAUUUUCUAAGACUGAUAAUUGAUUUGAUAAAAAGGGAUGAGAUAAUAAAUCAAUUAUAUUCUCAGGUGCUGCUUGUUCACUAACCAUUUCUGCAUCAGCAGGAACAGUUAAGUGGUUCAAUUUAGGUGGUUGAAAAGGAUGGUUUGCAGGUAGUCUUUAAUAGACUUUUGUUCCUCAUCUCAGACAUCUCACCUAUGCUCUUCAGAAUCUGAGGGUACACAUGUACAAAUUCCUCAUGAGCAGGCUCUUUGUGGAGUUUGGUGGAUGGUGAUGGGGAUAAAGCUUUAUGUAAGUUUUCAUAGAUUUUGUUCAAGGGAACAUCAUCCAUGUCUGAAGAAGAUGUUAAGGAGGUUGAUUGAGAGGAUGUGGUUGAACUAGAUUCUACUACAAUAACAUUAGAAUGAUGUGGAGAAUCAGAAUUACCUUUAUCAGCUUCUGGAGCAGCAGCUCCUGAACUAGCAUCAUCAUCCUCCUGAA